AGCGAACGCUGGCGGCAGGCUUAACACAUGCAAGUCGAACGCCCCGCAAGGGGAGUGGCAGACGGGUGAGUAACACGUGGGAACGUACCCUUUGGUUCGGAAUAACUUGGGGAAACUCAAGCUAAUACCGGAUAAGCCCUUAUGGGGAAAGGUUUACUGCCGAAGGAUCGGCCCGCGUCUGAUUAGCUAGUUGGUGAGGUAAUGGCUCACCAAGGCGACGAUCAGUAGCUGGUCGUAGAGGAUGAUCAGCCACACUGGGACUGAGACACGGCCGAGACUCCUACGGGGGGCAGCAGGGGGUAAUAUUGGACAAGGGGGGCAACCCUGACCCCGCCAUGCCGCGUGAGUGAUGAAGGCCUUAGGUUUGAAAAGCUCUUUUACCCGGGACGAUAAUGACUGUACCGGGAGAAUAAGCCCCGGCUAACUUCGUGCCAGCCGCCGCGGUAA
This 447-nucleotide ribosomal RNA is filed under the name uncultured bacterium. RNAcentral describes it as "partial 16S ribosomal RNA". It matches the Rfam family "Bacterial small subunit ribosomal RNA", at positions 29 to 523 of the family's 1533-position model. The record is from RNAcentral.